ACGGAAGGCAGCAGUAGGGAAUUUUCGGCAAUGGGCGAAAGCCUGACCGAGCAACGCCGCGUGAACGAAGAAGGUCUUCGGAUCGUAAAGUUCUGUUAUCGGGGAAGAGAGGCGGAUGCAGGGAAUGGUAUCCGAGAGGACGGUACCCGAUGAGGAAGCCACGGCUAACUACGUGCCAGCAGCCGCGGUAAAACGUAGGUGGCGAGCGUUAUCCGGAAUUAUUGGGCGUAAAGAGGGAGCAGGCGGUCGUGAAGGUCCACUGGUAAAAGACCGGGGCUAAACCCCGGUAGGCCGAGGAAACCGUACGACUAGAGUACAGCAGAGGAUCGUGGAAUUCCAUGUGUAGCGGUGAAAUGCGUAGAUAUAUGGAGGAACACCAGUGGCGAAGGCGACGAUCUGGGCUGAAACAGACGCUGAGUCCCGAAAGCGUGGGGAGCAAACAGGAUUAGAUACCCUGGUA
Molecule: ribosomal RNA, 460 nt
Filed under: uncultured bacterium
Lineage: Bacteria
Description: bacterial SSU rRNA
Rfam family: Bacterial small subunit ribosomal RNA
Source: RNAcentral